CCCAAGGCAUCCAUUUUCUGUUCGUCUUCCUCGAUCCGAAACGGAAACCCCCAGCGUGCACCGCCCCGCUCCUCAUUCAUUCCCCAUCUCGUCUCCUCCCCAACCCCGGCGACAAAACCCUAGCCUCCUCUUCCGUGUGAUGGGAUGCCGUCCAAACCCUACCCCGACCCCCUGACCGCCGCCUCCUCCUCCCCCGCCGCCCCCGCGACCUGGAUGUCCGCAUGGACGGUGCCCGGGCCCUGAUCGCCGCCGGGGCCACCGCCGUCUGCUGCCUCGUCUGCGCCUUCUGGGCCUUCCGCACCUCCUCCUCCUCCUCCCCCUCCUUCUCCAAGAAGCAGCAAUCCCCUUCGCUGAACUGCAGCGGCUGCGCCUCCUGCGGCUGCUGCGCCGCCAAGUCCGCCAACGGCGAGAUGGCCGUGGGCGGGGAUAACAAGAAGAAGGCGCAGGAGUCGGCCCCGCCUGAGGGCGGCGGCGCCUCCAUGAUGGAGCAGCUCGUCCCCGAGAUCACCACCCACGCGCUUAGCUACCUCGACUACACCAGCCUCUGCCGCCUCUCCAUGACCAACUCCGCCAUGCGCCGUGCCGCCAACGACGACGGCGCAUGGAAGGCGCUCUAUCACAAGGAUUUUACGGUGGAGCAGGGUACUAUAAAUCCACCUAAUGGAUGGAAGGCAUACUAUGCUGCUACAAAAGCCAUCAUGAAUCUUAAUGCAGAAUUCUACAAUAUCAUCAGGGAAGGGUCCUUGCCAGCAAUGAGCCGAUUUUGGCUCAAUGCAGAUUAUGUUAAGUGUAUUCACGCGACUGGGGAGUUCUUCACUGGCAGAGCAGAGCUGGAGACAGUGGAGAAAGAAAGAAUGAAUCAAGCUAUCAUCCGUGCCUGUCACGGUCGAAAGUGCGGAAGGCUCAGCAAGCUGCGCCGACCAGACAGCCACGGCAGGGCCUCAGGAGCUGCAGCGCUAGGGAGGAGGCAAGCUUGCCGAACUCCAUCGUGCUGUUGCUGUUGGUGUCCAUGGUGGUGAUGAGCGGAGCAGCGACACCAGCGGCAUCUCAUCCUCAGCAGCCAGGCAGAGACCCAAGUAGCGGAGAAAUGCCUCUAGCUCCAACUUGUUCCUAGUCAUGCAUAUUAUGUUGGCAGCUGAAUGGUAUCUAGCGCAUCACCGUCAAUUAGAUGAGCCAGGGGACUGGCUUUUAAAACCGUGUGCAUGCUUCUGUUUCUGCUGAAUAGAAAUACAAUGCGGUGAUGGAGAGCUGGGGCUUGCUGUUCAACUGGGGCCAAGAUGGAGGGCAGGGCAUUGCUUUCCAGAUACGGGAUGUCCGUGUUCGUGUCCUUGGUGAGGUGGCGUGGGUCAACUUGAAGGCGAAUG
Molecule: RNA transcript, 1364 nt
Organism: Panicum hallii
Lineage: Eukaryota; Viridiplantae; Streptophyta; Magnoliopsida; Poales; Poaceae
Gene name: F-box protein SKIP8-like
Exons: 5
Source: RefSeq, a predicted model, not a curated record